This 593-nucleotide ribosomal RNA is filed under the name uncultured bacterium. RNAcentral's name for it is "bacterial SSU rRNA". It matches the Rfam family "Bacterial small subunit ribosomal RNA", at positions 197 to 790 of the family's 1533-position model. The record is from RNAcentral.
GAGAUUAAAGAUUUAUCGGUGAUGGAUGGGGAUGCGUCUGAUUAGCUUGUUGGCGGGGUAACGGCCCACCAAGGCGACGAUCAGUAGGGGUUCUGAGAGGAAGGUCCCCCACAUUGGAACUGAGACACGGUCCAAACUCCUACGGGAGGCAGCAGUGAGGAAUAUUGGUCAAUGGACGAGAGUCUGAACCAGCCAAGUAGCGUGCAGGAUGACGGCCCUAUGGGUUGUAAACUGCUUUUAUAAGGGAAUAAAGUGAGUCUCGUGAGACUUUUUGCAUGUACCUUAUGAAUAAGGACCGGCUAAUUCCGUGCCAGCAGCCGCGGUAAUACGGAAGGUCCGGGCGUUAUCCGGAUUUAUUGGGUUUAAAGGGAGCGUAGGCCGGAGAUUAAGCGUGUUGUGAAAUGUAGACGCUCAACGUCUGCACUGCAGCGCGAACUGGUUUCCUUGAGUACGCACAAAGUGGGCGGAAUUCGUGGUGUAGCGGUGAAAUGCUUAGAUAUCACGAAGAACUCCGAUUGCGAAGGCAGCUCACUGGAGCGCAACUGACGCUGAAGCUCGAAAGUGCGGGUAUCGAACAGGAUUAGAUACCCUGG